This 886-nucleotide long non-coding RNA is filed under the name Medicago truncatula (barrel medic). RNAcentral's name for it is "long non-coding RNA (MTRU_LNC003006)". Lineage: Eukaryota; Viridiplantae; Streptophyta; Magnoliopsida; Fabales; Fabaceae. The record is from RNAcentral.
GGCUAAACUGCAGUUUUGACCCCCUAACUUUCAUAAAGGUGCGAUUUUGGUCCCCUAAUAAAAAAAAUUACAAUUUAAACCCCUAUGUUUUAGCCCCUUUGCAAAAGAGACCUUUUGGUCAAUUUUGACCGGGUCAACGCGCAUGUGUCAUGCCACAUGUGUAUUUUCCCAUUUAUUUUUAUUGAAAAAGCCAAUUGUGUAAUACUUGAAUUAAAAAAAAAUAAAAAUGGAAAGGUUGGCACGUGAGAGAACUUCAUUUUCACUUCUUUUCUUUCUUUCACAUUCUAAGGUGAAAAGCAAAACCCCUAAGUUUCCGAAAAUCAAAUUCAGUUGAUUCACAAAUCCCCAAUCACUUCAUGUUCACUUCGUUUCUGCUUCACAAAUCAAAUUCCAGUUGAUUGUUCAUCUCUGUUUGUUGCGAAAAUGAAGUGGAAAGAAGAUGAAAAGGCGACGGCAACGGCGAGUACGGGUUCUACGGUGAAGAAAAAAGAUGCGACGACGGGGAGAACAGAGGAAGGUUCGGUUAUGGAGAAGAACAGAUGAAGAAUAGAUGGUCGAAUAAGAUGAAGAAGACAAGGUUUGGUUAUGGUCGAAUAUGAAAAGGAGGGUUGAAGAAUUGGGGGUCUCACGUGCCAACCUUUCCAUUUUAUUUUUUAUUUUUUUAUUUUUUUAAUUCAAGUAUUACACAAUUGGCUUUUUCAAUAAAAAUAAAUGGGAAAAUACACAUGUGGCAUGACACAUGCGCGUUGACCCGGUCAAAAUUGACCAAAAGGUCUCUUUUGCAAAGGGGCUAAAACAUAGGGGUUUAAAUUGUAAUUUUUUUAUUAGGGGACCAAAAUCGCACCUUUAUGAAAGUUAGGGGGUCAAAACUGCAGUUUAGCCUAAA